RNAcentral lists this microRNA precursor (101 nucleotides) under Ixodes scapularis (black-legged tick). RNAcentral's name for it is "microRNA isc-mir-137 precursor". Its record names the gene isc-mir-137. The stretch from base 13 to 87 matches the Rfam family "mir-137 microRNA precursor family". Lineage: Eukaryota; Metazoa; Arthropoda; Arachnida; Ixodida; Ixodidae. The record is from miRBase by way of RNAcentral.
UGGUGGAUUCUGUCCUGGGCCGUGUAUUCAAUUGCGAAUAACACUCUUACCUAAAGCUGUUAUUGCUUGAGAAUACACGUCGCCGGACCAGACGCAUUCUU